UCCAGACUCCUACGGGAGGCAGCAGUGGGGGAUAUUGCACAAUGGGGGAAACCCUGAUGCAGCGACGCCGCGUGAGUGAAGAAGUAUUUCGGUAUGUAAAGCUCUAUCAGCAGGGACGAAAAUGACGGUACCUGAGUAAGAAGCCCCGGCUAACUACGUGCCAGCAGCCGCGGUAAUACGUAGGGGGCAAGCGUUAUCUGGAUUUACUGGGUGUAAAGGGAGCGUAGACGGUUAUGCAAGUCUGGAGUGAAAGGCGGGGGCUCAACCCCCGGACUGCUCUGGAAACUGUAGAACUAGAGUGCAGGAGGGGUAAGUGGAAUUCCUAGUGUAGCGGUGAAAUGCGUAGAUAUUAGGAGGAACACCAGUGGCGAAGGCGGCCUGCUGGACGACAACUGACGGUGAGGCGCGAAAGCGUGGGGAGCAACCAGGAUUAGAUACCCGGGUA
RNAcentral lists this ribosomal RNA (445 nucleotides) under uncultured bacterium. RNAcentral's name for it is "bacterial SSU rRNA". It matches the Rfam family "Bacterial small subunit ribosomal RNA", at positions 330 to 792 of the family's 1533-position model. The record is from RNAcentral.